Molecule: ribosomal RNA, 465 nt
Filed under: bacterium enrichment culture clone aHCH4_F11
Lineage: Bacteria
Description: bacterial SSU rRNA
Rfam family: Bacterial small subunit ribosomal RNA
Source: RNAcentral
GCCUUUACACAUGCAAGUCGAACGGCAGCACGGACUUCGGUCUGGUGGCGAGUGGCGAACGGGUGAGUAAUGUAUCGGAACGUGCCCAGUAGCGGGGGAUAACUACGCGAAAGCGUAGCUAAUACCGCAUACGCCCUACGGGGGAAAGCAGGGGAUCGCAAGACCUUGCACUAUUGGAGCGGCCGAUAUCGGAUUAGCUAGUUGGUGGGGUAACGGCUCACCAAGGCGACGAUCCGUAGCUGGUUUGAGAGGACGACCAGCCACACUGGGACUGAGACACGGCCCAGACUCCUACGGGAGGCAGCAGUGGGGAAUUUUGGACAAUGGGGGAAACCCUGAUCCAGCCAUCCCGCGUGUGCGAUGAAGGCCUUCGGGUUGUAAAGCAUUUUUGGCAGGAACGAAACGUCGUGGGUUAAUACCCCGCGAAACUGACGGUACCUGCUUAAUAAGUCCCGGCUAACUACG